CCUUAUGUUUUUACAUUAUUUGUAGAAAAGUCAUCUAAACCUUGUUCCCGCUCUCAGUGCUCCAUCUCCGGUUGCGUUCCUCUCCCGGAAUAUUUGAUCGUCUGACUUCCCGCUCCUGCGCAGUCUGUCCUGGCCUAAACACCACUUUAACUUUCGUAUUUUCUUCUCUCUCCCCUCCGCAAAUAUGUCGGAGUACAGCUCGGUACCCGCACCCGGGGCUGGAGCUCCUCUCGGCGGACAUCUAGCUAUCGGUAACGGUGGUGGAAUAAAAAAAGAUGCCUUUGCAGACGCGGUACAACGGGCCCGGCAGAUUGCUGCCAAGAUUGGUGAAUGUGCAGGGGUAGCCCCUAUGAACAACAUCAAUGCACCAGACGUCUUUCCCUUCACAGCACAGAAACGACAGCUGGAGGACCCAGAUCAACCUGAGAGCAAGAAAAUGGCUCCACAGAGUGAUGUGGACUCAGCUACAGCUCUCUCUAUCGGAGCCCAACUUGCAGCACUGGCCCAGCAGAGUGCCAGGCUCACAACCACCUCAGAGGAGUACAGUGUUCCUGAUGGAAUGGUGGGACUCAUCAUUGGCCGGGGCGGAGAACAGAUCAACAAGAUCCAGCAGGAAUCAGGCUGCAAGGUUCAGAUAGCCUCAGACAGUGGAGGUUUACCAGAGAGGAGUGUCUCUCUCACAGGGUCCCCAGACUCCAUACAGAAAGCCAAGAUUUUAUUAGAUGAGAUUGUGUCUCGGGGGAGGGGCACGCCCCCCUCAUCCUUCCACGAGGCAACCAAUGGACAGAGUGGCUCAGGGCAGGAGAUGAUGAUUCCCGCAGGCAAGGCUGGCCUCAUCAUCGGCAAGGGAGGGGAGACCAUCAAACAGCUACAGGAGCGAGCAGGAGUGAAGAUGAUCCUGAUUCAGGACGCGUCUCAGGGACCCAACAUGGACAAGCCCCUGCGCAUCAUCGGGGAGCCAUACAAAGUGGAGCAAGCCAUGGAGUUGGUGCAGGAGAUACUGAGGGAGAGGGAUCAGCCUGGCUUCGGAGACAGGAACGAGUAUGGCUCCCGCAUGGGGGGAGGUGGGGGAGCCAUGGACGUAAGUGAGAGGGAGGUUCCAGUGCCACGACACUCUGUCGGGGUGGUGAUUGGUCGCAACGGGGAGAUGAUCAAGAAGAUUCAGAACGACGCAGGAGUUAGGAUACAGUUUAAACCAGAUGAUGGCACAGGUCCUGAUAAGAUGGCCCACAUCAUGGGCCCACCAGACUGCUGUGACAAUGCUGCCCAGAUCAUCCAGGAGCUACUGCAGAGCAUCAGGGUCAGAGAGGAGGGUCCUCCCGGCCCUCCAGGCAUGUCCCCGAGUGGUGGCGGCAGGGGCCGCAGCAGAGGGGACCAGGGGAGCUGGGGUCCCCCUGGUGGUGGAGGAGGGGAGAUGACUUUCUCCAUUCCGGCCCACAAGUGUGGCCUGGUGAUCGGACGGGGCGGGGAGAACAUCAAGGCCAUCAACCAGCAGACUGGGGCCUUUGUGGAGAUCUCUCGCCAGCUGCCCCCCAACGGGGACCCUAACUUCAAGCUCUUUGUCAUUCGAGGCUCUCCGCAGCAGAUAGAUCACGCCAAGCAGCUCAUCGAGGACAAGAUCGAGGGUCCCCUCUGCCCUGUUUGUCCAGGUCCUGGUGGACCAGGCCCCAUGGGUCCCUAUAAUCCUGGUCCCUACAACCCAGGACCCCCAGGAGCCCCUGGACCACAUGGAGGUCUUCAUGGCUACCCCCCACAGGGCUGGGGCAACACCUACCAGCAGUGGCAGCCCCAAGUAACCCACGACCCCACACAGGCAGAUAGCAGGGCACGCUCAGCCCUAUGAGGACCUCACCUCCAACUGCCAUCUUUUUUAGGCAAGGCAGCCGGUGCCGCGGACCCUAACGCAGCCUGGGCAGCCUAUUAUGGCCAGUACUACCAGGGAGGGCAGCCAGGGGGAGCAGGGCCCGGCCAGCCCCCCACCAACCCCACCGCUGGUGGCCCAGCACCUGGAGACCAGCCCCAGGCCAGCCAGACCCCUGGGGGCCAGCCUGACUACACCAAGGCCUGGGAGGAAUACUACAAGAAGAUGGGUGUUGGUGAGACCACUGGUCCACUAUAGUUACUAGAAUAACACCACAGGGGGAAAGAUAGCAGUAGUUUCCCUCUUAGAAUAGGAAAGAUGGGCACUGUCUAAUUCUGUCAUUUUAGACCGUGUCUAUCUUUCCCAUGUAAUGUUGUAUCGAGGCGUAUAGCUGUCUCUACUGUUGUGGGCUGUUGACUACGCUUGACUUUAGAUUACUUUCAAGGUCUAAAAUCAUCUGACAAACUUUAAUUUUGAAGUGAACCAGUGCUUUAAGAACAUGAAUCUUUCAUCAUGUUAACCUUGUCGAUCAUAGCAUAUCUCUUCUUCAUCCAUAAGACCCCCUCUCCUCUGCUCCCCUAGCCCAGGCAGGAGGCUCUGCAGCAGGGCCAGGAGCAGCAGGUGCCCCAGCAGCCCCAGGUGGAGGCCAGCAGGACUACAGUGCAGCCUGGGCAGAGUACUACAGGCAGCAGGCUGCUUACUACGGCCAAACAGGACAGGCCCCAGGACAGCCUGCUACCCCUCAGCAAGGCCAGCAGACACAGUGAGAGGCUCGGCUGAGACUCAUAAAGAGCGAGAAUAAAGAAAGGCUACUACCACUUAACCCAACCAGUCAACAGAAUCCGGGCCAUUUAAAAAUAAAAAUUAUUUUCUAUAUUUUUUGUUCUGAAGUGAUUCUGUGCUGGCAGUCCUUUCCCUGUCCCUCCCCUUUCCCCAUCCAACUCACCACUUGUUUAAAUAAAUAUGCGAAGAGAACAAACUAUUGCUUUGCCUGUGAGCUGAAUAAUGGGAUGGAUUUCUAGGACUGUUAUCUUUCAUUUUGGUUCCCUGAUAUCUUCCCUUGUUUUAUCUGUCAAUAAAAACAUGAACUUGGGAGAUUUGAACUCGAAACCAUGAAAGCCAGAUUUACUUCCGGAAAUGCUCAUCACUCACCCAAUGAAAUCCCGCAUUCCCCUUUUUUAAUUGUAUUUACCACAGCCAAACUGUCUAUUCAAGUGACUUACUUCUAGUCCUACACUACUAAUACUGCAUUUACUGAAAUUAACAUUGAUUUAUAAAGAUUACAAUCAAUUAUGUUAAUGGUCAAAUGAUUAAGAGUGGGAGGUUUUGCUUUUAAAGGUGAUUAUUUGAAUUGCUUGGUAGUUUGAUUUCUCCUCCAUCUGGAACAUUCCCAUCACCUAAGUUGCUUGGUCUUCAUACAUUUUGAGCUUUGGUUUUGAUUUUAUGUUCCGUGAAUUAUAUUUUUGUUUUCUCUUUGUGUGUGUGACUGUACAGUAUUUAGAAUGUGUCCCCACAAGUGAUGAUAAACAUGAGUGUGUUUGCACAGCGGAAGACUUCAGUGAUUGUGGAAUGCUAGUUAACAUAACCACGGGUAUAUCUACAGUGGGAAGUUACCUACUGCAUACAUCACAUAACAAUAGUCUGUUCAACUCAACCUGUUGCACGGGAGACGAAUGGUGUUAGAAGUUUUAGUUUUCCUUGAUCUGUGACAUGGUCUUCUACAUUUGUACGUUUUUGUUUUUUAUUUUUCAAUUGUUUUGAAUAAAGUUCCAAUAAAAGAUGUCCUGACCUCCCACCAGUUAGAUCAGCUUCUGAUGGUCAUUGGGGACCGGUAUUAUCCCUGCCCAGGGAAAAACCUGUGGCCAUAGUUAUAGGCUUUAAACGGGGCUGGUUGCAAAAUUCAGGAACUUUCAAUAAAUUCCCUGAAAUACCAGUAGGAGGAUUCCCAGAAUCAGGAGGAAAUAAGCAGGAAAUCCAGAAUCCUCCAACUUGAAUUUCUGGAAAACCAGGGAAUUUAUUGAAAGUUCACAGAAUUUUGCAACUCUAACUAGGGUCCCUGGUCCGGGAAAAACUCCUGGCCCUAUUCAGAGUGAGUUACGGUUGCACUGGAAUAAGCUAUGGUUGAAGUCAUGAGUAAGAUGGCAAUUUAUGGUUGUUGAUGUUGUUAAUCUCAGGGUUGUAUUCAUAAGGGACUAACAGACUGAAACAGGGAGGGACUACCUGGACUUGUCCAAUAAGUGCAAAUGUUCUGUUGCAAAACGUUUUGGUACUGUGUGCCCAAAUGAACAUGACCCAGACAUGUUGAAUCACUAACUCUUGAUGAAGAAUGGCAGCUUGGGCACUGUAUUGGAGUCUGCAUUUUGCAAGGCACAGUGUUGGUAUUGUGAAUAAAAUGACCACCAGCAGCAAUAUUCUGUUGAAUUAAAAGGGUGAAAAGUCAACAUUU
Oncorhynchus kisutch (coho salmon) is the source of this 4307-nucleotide RNA transcript. It is a transcript of the gene named far upstream element-binding protein 2, with no coding region annotated. The transcript is spliced from 17 exons. NCBI's taxonomy places the organism in Eukaryota, Metazoa, Chordata, Actinopteri, Salmoniformes, Salmonidae. The record is from RefSeq and is a predicted model, not a curated record.